This is a small nucleolar RNA of Bison bison bison, 131 nucleotides long. Lineage: Eukaryota; Metazoa; Chordata; Mammalia; Artiodactyla; Bovidae. The record is from Ensembl.
GUUGAGGUCUAUCCUGAUGGGGCUUUUCCAAUAAACCUACAUCAUUGGAAAUGCCUCAUAGAGUAAGUAUGUGGUUUCCUUUACUCAUAGAACUGCUUGUUCGAUCUGUGGGAAAGAACUACAAGACAAAG